This 275-nucleotide ribosomal RNA is filed under the name uncultured bacterium. RNAcentral's name for it is "partial 16S ribosomal RNA". It matches the Rfam family "Bacterial small subunit ribosomal RNA", at positions 338 to 627 of the family's 1533-position model. The record is from RNAcentral.
CCUACGGGAGGCUGCAGUGGGGAAUUUUCCGCAAUGGGCGAAAGCCUGACGGAGCAACGCCGCGUGAGGGAGGAAGGCCUUUGGGUUGUAAACCUCUUUUGUUAGGGAAGAAGCAAGUGACGGUACCUAACGAAUCAGCAUCGGCUAACUCCGUGCCAGCAGCCGCGGUAAUACGGAGGAUGCAAGCGUUAUCCGGAAUUAUUGGGCGUAAAGCGUCCGCAGGUGGAAUUUCAAGUCGGCUGUCAAAGCCCGUAGCUUAACUACGGUCAGGCAGU